RNAcentral lists this transfer RNA (72 nucleotides) under Podarcis lilfordi (Lilford's wall lizard). RNAcentral's name for it is "tRNA.Ile". Lineage: Eukaryota; Metazoa; Chordata; Lepidosauria; Squamata; Lacertidae. The record is from RNAcentral.
GGAUAGCUCAGCUGGUUAGAAAGUGUGGUGCUGAUAACACCAAGGUCGCAGGUUCGAUCCCCAUAAGCGACA